This 73-nucleotide transfer RNA is filed under the name Diaphorina citri (Asian citrus psyllid). It matches the Rfam family "tRNA". From Rfam's summary of the family: Transfer RNA (tRNA) molecules are approximately 80 nucleotides in length. Their secondary structure includes four short double-helical elements and three loops (D, anti-codon, and T loops). Further hydrogen bonds mediate the characteristic L-shaped molecular structure. tRNAs have two regions of fundamental functional importance: the anti-codon, which is responsible for specific mRNA codon recognition, and the 3' end, to which the tRNAs corresponding amino acid is attached (by aminoacyl-tRNA synthetases). tRNAs cope with the degeneracy of the genetic code in two manners: having more than one tRNA (with a specific anti-codon) for a particular amino acid; and 'wobble' base-pairing, i.e. permitting non-standard base-pairing at the 3rd anti-codon position. Lineage: Eukaryota; Metazoa; Arthropoda; Insecta; Hemiptera; Psyllidae. The record is from Rfam by way of RNAcentral.
GCCUUGUUAGCUUGGUUGGUAGCGCGUCUGCCUUGUAAGCGCUAGGCCGUGGGUUCGAUUCCCGCCCGGGGCG